This 374-nucleotide ribosomal RNA is filed under the name uncultured organism. RNAcentral describes it as "partial 16S ribosomal RNA". It matches the Rfam family "Bacterial small subunit ribosomal RNA", at positions 527 to 896 of the family's 1533-position model. The record is from RNAcentral.
GUAGGGUGCGAGCGUUAAUCGGGAAUUACUGGGGCGUAAAGCGUGCGCAGGCGGUGAUGUAAGACCGAUGUGAAAUCCCCGGGGCUCAACCUGGGGAACUGCAUUGGUGACUGCAUUGCUCGAGUAUGGCAGAGGGGGGUGGAAUUCCACGUGUAGCAGUGAAAUGCGUAGAGAUGUGGAGGAACACCGAUGGCGAAGGCAGCCCCCUGGGCCAAUACUGACGCUCAUGCACGAAAGCGUGGGGAGCAAACAGGAUUAGAUACCCUGGUAGUCCACGCCCUAAACGAUGUCAACUGGUUGUCGGGCCUUCAUUGGCUUGGUAACGUAGCUAACGCGUGAAGUUGACCGCCUGGGGAGUACGGUCGCAAAGAUUA